CCCACACAACAACUCCCUUAGCUAGUCCUUUCAGGUCAAGUCCAACAACACCUCAAGUUUACACUCACCACUCCAACACCUUAAGUUUACACUCACCACUCUGAUACGACGCUUAGGCUCAAAAGAUAAGGGCUAUCUCCCCUAUAAAUACCCCUUGAUGAUGGGUAGAAACAGGCCAAAAUACUUACAGCAUGUUUGGUUGGGUGUAAUGGCAUAGCCAUUACAUCCCUAUUACGUGGACCCCACCUAUUCAUAUGUUUGGUUGGGUGUAAUGCCCUAUUACGGGCUUAUUACAUUACGUAUGUAUUCCUGCUUAAUGACUAAUUUCUAUUCCCUGCCCAAAGUUCAGUUUCGCUUCCGUUUAGCCCUCUCCCGAUUUCUAUGCCCUGUUUUACCCUCUCAUUUUCCCAAGCCGAAAGCCACCUUCAGAACUCUCCCUCCCAACAUCAAACAGAAGCUGCCAACAAAGUCACCUCCACCGCUUCCUUUUCACUUUCAUUUGAUUGUUUUGUCGACCAAAAACAGACUUGUGUUCAUCAAGCUUCGUUCCAUUCGUUCCAUCGAUUCUCCCACGUUUCCCUUUUAGAGGUACACUUCUACUACCGAUGGCAGUCGUAUUGAUUUAUAUGCAACCUAGGCUACAAGUUUUCACUUCUUUAUGCAAAACUUCCUUGAAAGCCGUUGUUGGUUUUUGAAAUGACCAUGGGAGGUCUGCUAUUAACUAUGUUCUAUACAGUAGGUUUUUGUUUAAAUACCUGGAAAUUGCUUUGACUCUUGUUUUUCUUGAAAUAUCCGUGUCUGACACAUUCACAUAUGAGUAUGAGUAUACUGGUGGCUAUUCUGAGAGAAGUCGAACUGUUAAACUUUUCUGGGAGUUUGAGCCCAAAGAACGUUAUAUGCUGCUAAAAUUUGUGACCAGCUGUUCACGAGCUCCUUUACUGGGGUUCAAAUACUUGCAGCCGGCUUUCACAAUUCAUAAGGUUGCAAGUGAUGCUCCUCUUUGGGCUGCAAUUGGAGGUUCGGAUGUGGAGCAACUUCCAUCAGCUUCUACAUGCUAUAACACUCUCAAGGUACAAUAAUGGGGGAUGGAUGCUCUCCAGUUUAAUAAUUACUAUGUUUAAAGGCUCCAUAACAACAUCAAACUUCAACACAAGUGAUUUUUUAUUGUCUCGUAUAUGUGUUUUCUUGCUCUAUUGGAUGGUUACAGCUUCCAACAUACAAGCGGUCAAGUACUCUGAAAGCAAAGCUUCGUUAUGCAAUUAAUUCUAAUGCUGGAUUUGAACUUUCUUAAGGACCUGAGAUUUUUAACUGGCGCAAGUGAACUUCCUUAUUAUCUAAAUUCAUUUCUAUCUGCCAUAAGGAUUUUAAGAUAUUAAAAAUUUUAUGUAUGUCCGUGCUAAAGAUCAAGUGUCUUUCAAGUUUUAAUUGACAUAUAGUUUAUUUAUGGUUUACCAUUAUCACUAGGCUUUGUAACCAUGUCCAAGAGAGGCUGGUAUAUGUCGAAGACCACAAGUUUAAGACAAGGCAAUCUGUCCUGUAGGCUUAGUGACGUGUUGUUCAGUUUAUUGUUGAAGGCAAUGGCAUCUUGGUUUAACCUUGCAACACACUGGUUACUUCCAGCACCAAAUAGGGUGAUGGCUGCAGGUAAACAACCUGUUGGUGGUAAGGUUGUUACUCCAAUCCUCCUUGCUCCCAGUCCAUACAGAUUCUGUUUCAAUCAUAAAACAGUUGUGUGCUUUAAAAAAACCAGUAUGUAAAAUCAUGUUAAAAGUUCGGUUCAUUUCAAUGAAAUUGUAACAAAUAUACUAAGAUUGCUGAGUUUUUAUUGAUAGCAUUGAUUUAUUUGAACCAUGAUUUUUGUUUAUGCAAGCAACUACCGGAUUCUGGGACCAGAGUCCUUGGCUGCACCAGUCGAGGCAAAUAACACUGAUGAAAGGCCGUGCUGAAUUUGUAAGUCGGUCACCAAGAGUGGAUUCUAAACAGAAGAUGUGGAAUAGUCCGAAGACUGCCCCAGCAUGGACUAACUCUCUUGUGAAAGGUUAUUAUGCUAAGCUUAGUGAAGGUGCUAUAGAUCAUCAAGAUUACUAUUCAACCUUUCACAAGACAAACCUCCAGAAGAAAUUCACGGAGCAAUAAUGAGAAGAUUUCAGUCAGGAAUCUACUCGGAAAGCCAUGGUGGAACUGGCAGCUUCUCCGGAAUUCACAGAUUGGAUGAUUGAGCAUGCUGACAGGAUAAAACUCCUUCCACGUGAUGAUAGUUCAGAUGAAUUAGUGGGAAGUAAAUCAAGUUCAGACGAUGAAGAUGAAGAAAGCCACAGCUGGUUCAGAUUAUUUUAACUUGUAAGAACUGGGUAGAAAAUCAAAAUUGUUCAUGAAGUAUGCAUGUUUGACGUAGGGACGGAUGCAUGAUCCGGGAAAAUUUAGAAAAAUUGAACAUAGUCAUGCCAGUAAUAUAUUAUCUGAUACUUCCAUACCUUGCUUGCCGGAUAACAUAGGUAUUUGACCUCUUUCAUGUAUCUUAGGAAAUUUAGUCCCUGUUUUAGGGUUGAUUUACUAUUACAUUUUCUUUUUGACUAGUAAA
This is an RNA transcript of Gossypium raimondii (Peruvian cotton), 2581 nucleotides long. It is a transcript of the gene named E3 ubiquitin-protein ligase UPL7, with no coding region annotated. The transcript has 4 exons. NCBI's taxonomy places the organism in Eukaryota, Viridiplantae, Streptophyta, Magnoliopsida, Malvales, Malvaceae. The record is from RefSeq and is a predicted model, not a curated record.